RNAcentral lists this ribosomal RNA (252 nucleotides) under uncultured bacterium. Its description in RNAcentral is "partial 16S ribosomal RNA". It matches the Rfam family "Bacterial small subunit ribosomal RNA", at positions 524 to 776 of the family's 1533-position model. The record is from RNAcentral.
UACGGGGGGGGCAAGCGUUGUUCGGAAUUACUGGGCGUAAAGGCUCGUAGGCGGCCAACUAAGUCGGAUGUGAAAUCCCCAGGCUUAACCUGGGAACUGCAUCCGAUACUGGAUGGCUUGAAUCCGGGAGAGGGAUGCAGAAUUCCAGGUGUAGCGGUGAAAUGCGUAGAUAUCUGGAGGAAUACCGGUGGCGAAGGCGGCAUCCUGGACCGGCAUUGACGCUGAGUGAGCGAAAGCCAGGGAGCAAACGGG